CACGUAGGGGGCAAGCGUUGUCCGGAAUCAUUGGACGUAAAGCGCGUGUAGGCGGUUCGGUAAGUCUGCUGUGAAAGUCGGGGGCUCAACCCUCGAAUGCCGGUGGAUACUGUCGGACUAGAGUGCGGAAGAGGCGAGUGGAAUUCCUGGUGUAGCGGUGAAAUGCGCAGAUAUCAGGAGGAACACCAAUUGCGAAGGCAGCUCGCUGGGACGUUACUGACGCUGAGACGCGAAAGCGUGGGGAGCAAACAGG
This 253-nucleotide ribosomal RNA is filed under the name uncultured bacterium. RNAcentral describes it as "partial 16S ribosomal RNA". It matches the Rfam family "Bacterial small subunit ribosomal RNA", at positions 524 to 776 of the family's 1533-position model. The record is from RNAcentral.